Molecule: ribosomal RNA, 253 nt
Filed under: uncultured bacterium
Lineage: Bacteria
Description: partial 16S ribosomal RNA
Rfam family: Bacterial small subunit ribosomal RNA
Source: RNAcentral
UACGUAGGGUGCGAGCGUUGUCCGGAAUUAUUGGGCGUAAAGGGCUCGUAGGCGGUCUGUCACGUCGGGAGUGAAAACACGGGGCUUAACCCCGUGCCUGCUUCCGAUACGGGCAGACUAGAGGUAUGCAGGGGAGAACGGAAUUCCUGGUGUAGCGGUGAAAUGCGCAGAUAUCAGGAGGAACACCAAUAGCGAAGGCAGCUCGCUGGGACGUUACUGACACUGAGGCGCGAAAGCGUGGGGAGCGAACAGG